Non-coding RNA from Agrobacterium tumefaciens, 113 nucleotides. NCBI's taxonomy places the organism in Bacteria, Pseudomonadati, Pseudomonadota, Alphaproteobacteria, Hyphomicrobiales, Rhizobiaceae. The record is from Rfam.
AAUGCCCCAUGAUGCUCAGGUCCGCCGCAUCUCCUGAAUCGUGGGGUCGGUCGGCUGACGAUGUCCGAAUCGGUUCCUCGUGCCGUAAUCACAUCGUUGGCCGACCGCCUUCU